GUUGUUGCAAUAGUAAUUCUGCUCAGUACGAGAGGAACCGCAGAUUCAGACAAUUGGCAUUUGCACUUGGCUGAAAAGCCAAUGGUGCGAAGCUACCAUCUGUUGGAUUAUGACUGAACGCCUCUAAGUCAGAAUCCGUGCUAGAACGCAACGAU
This is a non-coding RNA of Nematostella vectensis (starlet sea anemone), 155 nucleotides long. The record is from Rfam. NCBI's taxonomy places the organism in Eukaryota, Metazoa, Cnidaria, Anthozoa, Actiniaria, Edwardsiidae.